AAGAACAACAUCAAAGCUUUGGUGGAGGAAGAGGCAGGAGGAGAAAGCAGCGGUGUACCGCCUCUAUCCCCUUCACUUCCUCCGAGGCCUUGCAUGAGUCCUUGAUUCCUGGAGCACGGGGCCUGUGUUGGGGAGGAGUGAGACCCUGGGAGAUAAGAGGUUUUGAAAGCCCAGGGAACGAGUUGUUCCAGGCCUCUCUCCCUCCCUCUCUCUACCCCUACCACCGCUGCUGCUGCUGCUGCUGACGUCCGAAGGGGCAGAUAGCAAAUCUGAUGUCUCAGGAGGAAGGUCUGUAUCCAGGGUAAUGGGAACUGAUUCCAGCCAAUCGCACUGUGAUUUAAGAUGGCACCACCGUGUUUGUGGCAUUUCUGUAGCUGUUUGGGUGAGUGUGUGAGUGUGUGUGGGAGAGAGAGAGAGAGUGUGUGUCACUGCAUGUCUACCUCUGAAGGGUUAUGUGUGUGUGUGUGUGUGUGUGUGUGUGUGUGUGUGUGUGUGUGUGUGAGAGAGAGAGAGAGAGAGAGACAAAGAGAGUGUAUGUGUGAGCAUGAAUCUAUUUAUGUGUGUGUGUGCUUUUGUUUGAGUAUGAAACAUACAACAUAUGGGUGAGGAUGAAAUCACAUAGGUUUUCAAUGGAUAUUCAGAUAUGGCAAUGCACAUUUGAAUGUGUGCGCACGCGUUGUUGACUGUGUUUGUGCAUAUACAAGGGUGAAAACUAAUUUCAAAAAUCCCUUCAAGUUCAUGUAUGAGAGUUUGAUCCUGUAUGUGUUUGUAUGCAUUUGUGUGCAUAGGUCUAAAACAUAGGUCUAAAACUGCCUGGAUCUGCAUCUGGAUGAUGUAAUGUAUAUAAUGGAUAUGUCAAGUCAUUUGUACGUUGCCACUGUCAGUGCUGUCUGUGUUGAUAUGUGUACAUCCAUGCUAAUAUGCCUGUAAGUGCCGUUAAGGUCUGUGUGCUUGACUGUGUGUCUUUGUCAGAGUACAUGUGUGUGUGUGUGUGUGUGUGUGCUUGACUCUGUGUGUCUUUGUGAGAGUACAUUUGUGUGUGUGUGUGUGUGUGUGUGUGUGUGUGUGUGUGUGUGUGUGUCUUUGUGAGAGUACAUGUGUGUAGGCCCCAUAGUCUGUGGCUUUAUCAGAGUGUUUGCAGUCUCUCUGUGUUGGCAUACAUGCUCAUUUGUGUGUCAAAAUAAGUCUGCCUGUGUGUGUGUGUGUGUGUGUGUGUGUGUGGGGGGGGGGGGGGGUCUAAGUUUGUGUGUGUGUGUGUAUGUUCAGCACGGCGUUGCUGUGCUCUGUGCAGGUGUGUGUGGGUGUGUAUGUGUGUGUGCGUGUGUGUGUGUGUGUUCAGCACGGCAUUGCUGUGCUCUGUGCAGGUGAAUGUGGGUGUGUGUGUCUGUCUCUGUGUGUGUGUGUGUGUGUGUGUGUGUGUGUGUGUGUGUGUGUGUGUGUGUGUGUGUGUGUGUGUGUGUGUGUGCUGUGCUCUGUGCAGGUGCGAGUGAUGGCCCUCAGCCUGAGGAGGCGGGCUGGGAGCUCGGAAGGAGUGAGAGAAAAACAGCUACUCUGUCUUCCCUAAAACAUCUUCAAGGUCUCUGGCGAGGGAUAAAUUCCCAAGGGGAGACAGUUCACCAGUAAGAGAUCUGCUUGCGCUCGACCGGUCUGUCUCCGGUGUGUUUAGACGGCAGGACGCUCAUUUCCUUGCUCUCACUCGCUGUUCCUUUUUCCUAUGCAUAUACCUCUUUGAGAUGUCGCUUUAAAGAGGCAUAGGGCAUGGGAAAAGGGGGCUGUUGAGGUAUUCCACUGGAAUCCAACCAACCAACAGACGAAGGCCACCGCUUUGUGUCUCUGCCUGAAUGGAGCCAUUGCUUCACCAUUGUCUCCUGCUGCUUUACCGUCUUCAACCACAAUGGAUGUGUUUGUAGGUGUGGAUGAGCGUGGGAUAAGUGAGCGAGAGAGCGCUCAGAGGUCCUGAUGAGUUGUCUUCUACAUUCAGAACAUUGCAUCUUUACCUGUUGUCUUCAGAGACGGGAGGAGGGAUGGGACAAAAAGGAGACAAUGAUAAGUGAACUGGGCUCUGUAAAGUGCCUUGAGACUAUUUUCUUGUUCUGGCACUAUAUAAAUAAAAUGGAAUUGAAUUGUGUUGAAUUGAACAACAUGUUUUCCUGCUGGUUUUAAUUAAAAAAAACUAUUUAAAGAAA
This is a long non-coding RNA of Clupea harengus (Atlantic herring), 2186 nucleotides long. NCBI's taxonomy places the organism in Eukaryota, Metazoa, Chordata, Actinopteri, Clupeiformes, Clupeidae. The record is from Ensembl.